RNA transcript from Syngnathus acus (greater pipefish), 376 nucleotides. It is a transcript of the gene named oligosaccharyltransferase complex subunit 4 (non-catalytic), with no coding region annotated. The transcript is spliced from 3 exons. The record is from RefSeq and is a predicted model, not a curated record. NCBI's taxonomy places the organism in Eukaryota, Metazoa, Chordata, Actinopteri, Syngnathiformes, Syngnathidae.
CGGGUUAACGUGACGUGUCUUUCCUUUUAAACCGGAAGAGAUUGCAAAGGUCGCCUCCUGUGAGCUCACUCACAAAACCAUCACGAUUCUCUCAGAAACUCUAUUAAAAACAUAACAAUGGUGACUGACGUGCAGCUGGCAAUCUUCGCCAACAUGCUUGGUGUGUCCCUAUUCCUGCUGGUGGUACUAUACCACUACGUGGCCGUCAACAACCCCAAGAAGCAGGACUAAGAACUGGUCGCACCCUGGGCUGGUGAGUGCAAUCGUGAUGGGAAUCGUCGCCACCACACUACCCAGGAAACAAACAUUCCCCCCAAAAUGAUUUCCCAAGGAUUAUGUAGUUGUUACUUUUUUCAAUAAAUAAUGCCAAGAAAAA